RNAcentral lists this ribosomal RNA (477 nucleotides) under uncultured bacterium. RNAcentral's name for it is "bacterial SSU rRNA". It matches the Rfam family "Bacterial small subunit ribosomal RNA", at positions 64 to 524 of the family's 1533-position model. The record is from RNAcentral.
GACCGACUGAUGGGAGUGAGCUCCCUAAUAUGAGCGGCGGCCCGGUGAGUAUCACGUGGGUAACCUGCCUGUAAGAUUGGGAUAACUCCGUGGACAACGGAGCUAAUACCGGAUAACAUUUUGAACCGCAUGGUUCGAAAUUGAAAGAUGGUUUCGGCUAUCACUUACAGAUGGACCCGUGGCGCAUAAGCUAGUUGGUGAGGUAACGGCUCACCAAGGCAACGAUGCGUAGCCGACCUGAGAGGGUGAUCGGCUACUCUGGGACUGAUACACGGUCCAUACUCCUACGGGAGGCAUCAGUAUGGAAUCUUCCGCAAUGGACGAAAGUCUGACGGAGCAUCGCCGCGUGAACGAUGAAGGCCUUCGGGUCGUAAAGUUCUGUUGUUAGGGAAGAACAAGUACCAGAGUAACUGCUGGUACCUUGACGGUACCUAACCAGAAAGCCACGGCUAACUACGUGCCAGCAGCCGCGGUAAU